Molecule: ribosomal RNA, 406 nt
Filed under: uncultured bacterium
Lineage: Bacteria
Description: partial 16S ribosomal RNA
Rfam family: Bacterial small subunit ribosomal RNA
Source: RNAcentral
AUUGAACGCUGGCGGCAGGCCUAACACAUGCAAGUCGAACGAGUGGCGGACGGGUGAGUAAUGUCUGGGAAACUGCCUGAUGGAGGGGGAUAACUACUGGAAACGGUAGCUAAUACCGCAUCCCAUCGGAUGUGCCCAGAGGGGAUUCGCUAGUAGGUGGGGUAACGGCUCACCGAGGCGACGAGCCCUCGCUGGGCUGAGAGGAUUACAAGCCACACUGGAACUGAGACACGGUCCAGACUCCUACGGUAGGCAGCAGUGGGGAAUAUGGCACCAUGGGCGCAAGCCUGAUGCAGCCAUGCCGCGUGUAUGAAGAAGGCCUUCGGGUUGUAAAGGACUUGCAGCGGGGAGGCGUUACCCGCAGAAGAAGCACCGGCUAACUCCGUGCCAGCAGCCGCGGUAAUAC